UGAUUGCUGUUGGCUUCAACUCUCCAAGGCCCAGUUGCUUGUAGACAGAGUAUGGAAGCAAAUUCACACUUGCUCCCAAGUCUAGCAAGGCUUUCUCCACUACCUUUCCUCCAAUCAUGACUGAAAUGGUAGGACUUCCAGGGUCUUUGUACUUCAAAGGAGACUUACAUUGUAAGAUUGCACUUACUUGCUCAGUCAAGAAGGCUUUCUUGUUUACAGUCAACCCUCUUUUGAUAGUACACAAGUCCUUUAGGAAUUUUGCAUACGUUGGAACUUGUUUGAUCAUAUCCAGUAGUGGAAUAUUAACCUUCACUUGUCUCAAUACUUCUAGGAUUUCAGCUGCAUUUCUAACCCCCUUUUUCCCAUGUAAUGCUUGAGGAAAAGGUGGA
This 389-nucleotide long non-coding RNA is filed under the name Vitis vinifera (wine grape). RNAcentral's name for it is "long non-coding RNA (VVIN_LNC003637)". The record is from RNAcentral. Lineage: Eukaryota; Viridiplantae; Streptophyta; Magnoliopsida; Vitales; Vitaceae.